RNAcentral lists this ribosomal RNA (669 nucleotides) under uncultured bacterium. RNAcentral's name for it is "bacterial SSU rRNA". It matches the Rfam family "Bacterial small subunit ribosomal RNA", at positions 11 to 669 of the family's 1533-position model. The record is from RNAcentral.
UUUUGAUCCUGGCUCAGGAUGAACGCUAGCGAUAGGCUUAACACAUGCAAGUCGAGGGGCAGCAUGGUCUUAGCUUGCUAAGACUGAUGGCGACCGGCGCACGGGUGCGUAACGCGUAUGCAACUUGCCUCACAGAGGGGGAUAACCCGUCGAAAGACGGACUAAUACCGCGUACACUCCACUUUGGGCAUCCAAAGUAGAGGAAAUGAAAUUCGCUGUGAGAUAGGCAUGCGUCCCAUUAGCUAGUUGGUGAGGUAACGGCUCACCAAGGCGACGAUGGGUAGGGGAACUGAGAGGUUGAACCCCCACACUGGUACUGAGACACGGACCAGACUCCUACGGGAGGCAGCAGUGAGGAAUAUUGGUCAAUGGGCGAGAGCCUGAACCAGCCAAGUCGCGUGAAGGAUGACUGUCUUAUGGAUUGUAAACUUCUUUUAUACGGGAAUAACAAGAGCCACGUGUGGCUCCCUGCAUGUACCGUAUGAAUAAGCAUCGGCUAACUCCGUGCCAGCAGCCGCGGUAAUACGGAGGAUGCGAGCGUUAUCCGGAUUUAUUGGGUUUAAAGGGUGCGUAGGCGGCCUGUUAAGUCAGCGGUGAAAUCUAGGAGCUUAACUCCUAAAUUGCCAUUGAUACUGGCGGGCUUGAGUGUAGAUGAGGUAGGCGGAAUGC